UGAUUGAAUUGAAUAUAUCCACAUGUGUCGGUGUCGUGUCAGAGACACACCUCCAAUCAGUUGUCGGUGCCAUAUAGUUUCAAACUCAACAAAAGAUCUAUAAGCUUCACUAUUAUUCUUCAAAUUCGCUUCAUCAAGCAUUGGUACAAAGCUUGAAAAUAAACAGCAACAAUUAUUUCCACUUGCAAAACUAAUCAAACUCAACAGAGCAAAUAACCUAAAUUAUCAUCAAUUCACGAUUGCAAAUUCACGCAUUAUCCUUCAAAAUACAUAAAACAAAAUCCAAACUAAAAUUUAACAAACAUUAAAGUUCCAAAUUACACAAUCAAGCAAUAUUCUGCCACGAAAUCGCCGUUUUCCUUUUAUUCCUAUUCAUCCAAACAUCACUAUUCUUCUUCCAAUUCCUAAUCUCCAAUUUCUCACCAUCCCCUUUCACACCAAAAAACUCCGGUCUCGACGCUGCCACCGCAAUCCUCGGUAACCCUAACGCCGACGAAACCGAUUCACUUUCAUCUCCCUUCCCCGAAAACGCCGACAGAAACACCUUCCCUGAACUACUUCCAGCGUGGAUUUGUGGAAGCAACGAAUUCAAACCAAACACACCACGAAUUUCGCCGUUUGAUGCAGGAUCGUGUUUGAGGAAUCUGGAGGAUGAUGAUGCGGUGGAUACUGCGGCGGCAGUGGCGGUGGUUGUGGUGCGUUGUGGAGGUGGAUUGAUACCGUUGAGCCAACGAACGAGAGCGAUACGAGAUGAACGGUUAGGAUCGUAUUCGAUGCGUUCGACGAUACCGACGGAAGAAGAAGUGUUGCGCUUGAGAUCGAUGACUCGAUGUAAACGUUUAUGGCCGCCGCCGCGGUGGAAGGAGGUGAUGCGGCCGUAACAGUUACGGCCGGCGGUUUUUCCGGCGCCGAAUGUGAAUUGUCUCAGUGAUCUCUUCACUCCUCCUGACAUUUUUUUUUUUGGAU
This 966-nucleotide long non-coding RNA is filed under the name Medicago truncatula (barrel medic). Its description in RNAcentral is "lncRNA gene38124". Lineage: Eukaryota; Viridiplantae; Streptophyta; Magnoliopsida; Fabales; Fabaceae. The record is from RNAcentral.